Molecule: transfer RNA, 72 nt
Filed under: Treponema sp.
Lineage: Bacteria; Pseudomonadati; Spirochaetota; Spirochaetia; Treponematales; Treponemataceae
Also listed under: 1 other name
Description: tRNA-Val
Rfam family: tRNA
About the family: Transfer RNA (tRNA) molecules are approximately 80 nucleotides in length. Their secondary structure includes four short double-helical elements and three loops (D, anti-codon, and T loops).
Source: RNAcentral
GCUCGCUUAACUCAGCGGUAGAGUGCCACCUUCACACGGUGGAAGUCACUGGUUCAAAUCCAGUAGCGAGCA